AUACGUAGGGGGCGAGCGUUGUCCGGAAUGAUUGGGCGUAAAGGGCGCGUAGGCGGCCCGGUAAGUCUGGAGUGAAAGUCCUGUUUUUAAGAUGGGAAUUGCUUUGGAUACUGUCGGGCUUGAGUGCAGGAGAGGUUAUCGGAAUUCCCGGUGUAGCGGUGAAAUGCGUAGAGAUCGGGAGGAACACCAGUGGCGAAGGCGGGUAACUGGACUGCAACUGACGCUGAGGCGCGUAAGUGUGGGGAGCAAACAGGAUUAGAUACCCUGGUAGUCCACACUGUAAACGAUGAAUGCUAGGUGUAAGAGGUAUCGACCCCUUUUGUGCCGGAGUUAACACAAUAAGCAUUCCGCCUGGGGAGUACGGCCGCAAGGUUGAAACUCAAAGGAAUUGGCGGGG
Molecule: ribosomal RNA, 397 nt
Filed under: uncultured bacterium
Lineage: Bacteria
Description: partial 16S ribosomal RNA
Rfam family: Bacterial small subunit ribosomal RNA
Source: RNAcentral